Molecule: ribosomal RNA, 1021 nt
Filed under: Escherichia coli
Lineage: Bacteria; Pseudomonadati; Pseudomonadota; Gammaproteobacteria; Enterobacterales; Enterobacteriaceae
Description: partial 23S ribosomal RNA
Rfam family: Bacterial large subunit ribosomal RNA
Source: RNAcentral
CGAACCGGGGGAACUGAAACAUCUAAGUACCCCGAGGAAAAGAAAUCAACCGAGAUUCCCCCAGUAGCGGCGAGCGAACGGGGAGCAGCCCAGAGCCUGAAUCAGUAUGUGUGUUAGUGGAAGCGUCUGGAAAGGCGCGCGAUACAGGGUGACAGCCCCGUACACAAAAAUGCACAUGCUGUGAGCUCGAUGAGUAGGGCGGGACACGUGGUAUCCUGUCUGAAUAUGGGGGGACCAUCCUCCAAGGCUAAAUACUCCUGACUGACCGAUAGUGAACCAGUACCGUGAGGGAAAGGCGAAAAGAACCCCGGCGAGGGGAGUGAAAAAGAACCUGAAACCGUGUACGUACAAGCAGUGGGAGCACGCUUAGGCGUGUGACUGCGUACCUUUUGUAUAAUGGGUCAGCGACUUAUAUUCUGUAGCAAGGUUAACCGAAUAGGGGAGCCGAAGGGAAACCGAGUCUUAACUGGGCGUUAAGUUGCAGGGUAUAGACCCGAAACCCGGUGAUCUAGCCAUGGGCAGGUUGAAGGUUGGGUAACACUAACUGGAGGACCGAACCGACUAAUGUUGAAAAAUUAGCGGAUGACUUGUGGCUGGGGGUGAAAGGCCAAUCAAACCGGGAGAUAGCUGGUUCUCCCCGAAAGCUAUUUAGGUAGCGCCUCGUGAAUUCAUCUCCGGGGGUAGAGCACUGUUUCGGCAAGGGGGUCAUCCCGACUUACCAACCCGAUGCAAACUGCGAAUACCGGAGAAUGUUAUCACGGGAGACACACGGCGGGUGCUAACGUCCGUCGUGAAGAGGGAAACAACCCAGACCGCCAGCUAAGGUCCCAAAGUCAUGGUUAAGUGGGAAACGAUGUGGGAAGGCCCAGACAGCCAGGAUGUUGGCUUAGAAGCAGCCAUCAUUUAAAGAAAGCGUAAUAGCUCACUGGUCGAGUCGGCCUGCGCGGAAGAUGUAACGGGGCUAAACCAUGCACCGAAGCUGCGGCAGCGACGCUGAUGCGUUGUUGGGUAGGGGAGCGUU